AUUGAACGCUGGCGGCAGGCCUAACACAUGCAAGUCGAGCGGAUGAAGGGAGCUUGCUCCUGGAUUCAGCGGCGGACGGGUGAGUAAUGCCUAGGAAUCUGCCUGGUAGUGGGGGAUAACGUCCGGAAACGGGCGCUAAUACCGCAUACGUCCUGAGGGAGAAAGUGGGGGAUCUUCGGACCUCACGCUAUCAGAUGAGCCUAGGUCGGAUUAGCUAGUUGGUGGGGUAAAGGCCUACCAAGGCGACGAUCCGUAACUGGUCUGAGAGGAUGAUCAGUCACACUGGAACUGAGACACGGACAAGACUCCUACGGGAGGCAGCAGUGGGGAAUAUUGGACAAUGGGCGAAAGCCUGAUCCAGCCAUGCCGCGUGUGUGAAGAAGGUCUUCGGAUUGUAAAGCACUUUAAGUUGGGAGGAAGGGCAGUAAGUUAAUACCUUGCUGUUUUGACGUUACCAACAGAAUAAGCACCGGCUAACUUCGUG
This 484-nucleotide ribosomal RNA is filed under the name uncultured bacterium. RNAcentral's name for it is "partial 16S ribosomal RNA". It matches the Rfam family "Bacterial small subunit ribosomal RNA", at positions 30 to 507 of the family's 1533-position model. The record is from RNAcentral.